AUGCGGUAUGUGCCGCGCGUUGACGUUUGGUGGCGCUCCGAUGCGACCAUCCGAGAGUGGACGGCGCGCCGAGACGACCAGCGAUCGAAUCCCGCCGCGCUCUUUCAGACUCGCCGGACGAUCGCCUUCUCCUCCUCCGGCUCCUCCUCGCUGUCGCCGUCGACCCUGCCGCCGAGGCAGUCGAAGCGCACGCUCCCCUUGGUGGUGGCCGAGCCCACGACGGACCCGUCCGGCGCCUUCUCACGGACGGUUCUUGGCAGCGGCGGCGCCGUCGGGGUCGUAGGGGCGGGCGCUCCCACCGGCUCCGCGUCCGGCGCCCUCCUCGAGGCCGCCCAGAACGGCACCCUGGAGGAGAACGUCCUGGCGAUGAACGACGGCCACCGGUCGGACCGGCCGAUCCGCGCGCUCCGCGCGCCGGCGUCCCGCGCCACCGUGCGGCGCAGGCUCUCCUCGCCCGCGGCCACCAUGUCCCUGCGCACGUGCUCCGGGAGGCGCAGCGUGAACCGCUCCAGGUCGCCGUCGAACCGGGCCGAGAGGGAGUGGCCCGUCGAGUGCGCGCGCGAGAACGGCCGCCCCGACCGCGACCGCACCGCGCGCCGCAGGCUGCCGAUCCGCUCCAGCUCUGCCGCCUCCCUCAUCCUCUCCUCAUGCGCCGCGCCGUCUCCCUCGGGGUCCAUGUCGAUGGCCACCUCCGGCGCCCGCUGCUCCUCCGCACCGGCGCUGUUCUCUUCAGCCGCGGCCGGGGCCGGCUCCUCGGGGGCGAGGCUGCAGCGGCAGACGGGGCAGGUGACGUGGCCGGCGAGCCACUCCCCGAUGCAGUCCGGGUGGAACGCGUGGCUGCACUUGGGGAGGAGCCGGAGCUGGUCCCCGUCCUCGAACUCGCUGAGGCAGACGGCGCACUCGAGCACGGCCGUGUCGUCGCCGUCCUUGUCCCGGAGCGCCCUCGCCUCGGCGUAG
This 957-nucleotide ribosomal RNA is filed under the name Triticum aestivum (bread wheat). RNAcentral describes it as "partial small subunit ribosomal RNA". Lineage: Eukaryota; Viridiplantae; Streptophyta; Magnoliopsida; Poales; Poaceae. The record is from RNAcentral.